UAGGGAAUAUUGCAAAAUGGGCGAAAGCCCGAUGCAGCAACGCCGCGUGGGCGAUGAAGGCCUUCGGGUCGUAAAGCCCUUUUUGAGGGGAUGAGGAAGGACAGUACCCUCAGAAUAAGCCUCGGCUAACUACGUGCCAGCAGCCGCGGUAAAACGUAGGAGGCGAGCGUUAUCCGGAUUUACUGGGCGUAAAGCGCGUGCAGGCGGAUUGGAGAGUUGGAUGUGAAAGCUCCCGGCUUAACUGGGAGAGGUCGUUCAAUACUUCCAGUCUUGAGUGCAGUAGAGGGAGGUGGAAUUCCGGGUGUAGUGGUGAAAUGCGUAGAUAUCCGGAGGAACACCAGUGGCGAAAGCGGCUUCCUGGACUGUAACUGACGCUCAGA
Molecule: ribosomal RNA, 380 nt
Filed under: uncultured bacterium
Lineage: Bacteria
Description: bacterial SSU rRNA
Rfam family: Bacterial small subunit ribosomal RNA
Source: RNAcentral